GAUGAACGCUAGCGGGAGGCUUAACACAUGCAAGUCGAGGGGCAGCAUAGGGUAGCAAUACUCUGAUGGCGACCGGCAAACGGGUGAGUAACGCGUAUGCAACCUACCCUGUACAGGGGGAUAACCCGGAGAAAUUCGGACUAAUAUCCCGUAAUAAUAUCCGGAGGCAUCUUUGGAUAUUUAAAGUUCCGACGGUACGGGAUGGGCAUGCGUAACAUUAACUGGUUGGUAAGGUAACGGCUUACCAAGGCUAUGAUGUUUAGGGGUCCUGAGAGGGUGGUCCCCCACACUGGUACUGAGACACGGACCAGACUCCUACGGGAGGCAGCAGUGAGGAAUAUUGGUCAAUGGGCGCAAGCCUGAACCAGCCAUCCCGCGUGCAGGAAGACGGCCCUAUGGGUUGUAAACUGCUUUUCCAGGGAGAGAAACUUACGCACGUGUUGCGUGACUGACGGUACCCUGGGAAUAAGCAUCGGCUAACUCCGUGCCCAGCAGCCCGCGGUAAGAGUGUGUGUA
This 516-nucleotide ribosomal RNA is filed under the name uncultured bacterium. Its description in RNAcentral is "bacterial SSU rRNA". It matches the Rfam family "Bacterial small subunit ribosomal RNA", at positions 28 to 536 of the family's 1533-position model. The record is from RNAcentral.